RNAcentral lists this transfer RNA (77 nucleotides) under Tolypothrix sp. NIES-4075. Its description in RNAcentral is "tRNA-Glu". It matches the Rfam family "tRNA". From Rfam's summary of the family: Transfer RNA (tRNA) molecules are approximately 80 nucleotides in length. The record is from RNAcentral. Lineage: Bacteria; Bacillati; Cyanobacteriota; Cyanophyceae; Nostocales; Tolypothrichaceae.
AGUCCCGUAGGCGAAUAGUUUAAGCCGUCAGUUUCUCAUACUGAAAAUUGCGGGUGCAAAUUCCGUCGGGACUCCCA